This is a long non-coding RNA of Triplophysa dalaica, 1888 nucleotides long. RefSeq lists it as uncharacterized. The transcript is spliced from 2 exons. The record is from RefSeq and is a predicted model, not a curated record. NCBI's taxonomy places the organism in Eukaryota, Metazoa, Chordata, Actinopteri, Cypriniformes, Nemacheilidae.
GGGAAAUUUCAUCAGAACAAAGCACAGAAAAAUUUAUCAAAACUCACGUUUUAAUAAAAAAUAUAGAAUUAAUAUUUUAAAAAAGUAUCUAAAUAGAUUUACUACACAUUUUAAAAGCGAUGAAAUGUUUAUAGAGGUUAUAAAUACGUUAAUAACUGAACCUGGUCCAAUUUGUAUUGAAAUUGGAAAAAUUGUACCUCAUGAGAAUUUUUUAUUCACAUGGAAUUAUCCAUGUGUUAUUAUUAUUUGGUCAGAAUUAAAACAAACCGUACAAAUAGUAGGCCUUGGCUAUUAUGUUGGCUGUGGUUAUAUACUUACAGCAUCUAAUGUUUUAGAAAUUCUUGAUGAUGGUAGAAUAUGUGCUUUUUUCACAACACAUCAAAAUUAUCUGGUUUAUUCGGCUCAAGAAAUUAUUCAAAAGGAUGGUUUGGCUGAGAUUAAACUGAAGGGUUCCCUUGAACCUCUAGAAUUCAUAAAUAGAAAAAACAUUACAAAUGAAUUUGACUUUUAUGAUGUUGUUUAUUUUUAUUCCCUGUAUUCUGGUGAUUUUAAAGUAAUUACCUGCAAAAUUUUGCCACGCACAUUGGACAGUGAUGACUUGCUAGAAAAUGAAUUUCUGCUUUCUGAAGCAGGGUUUGAAAUAGACAUUGGAGGCCCUGUUAUAUUUAAAACUAAACAUAAUUGUCAGAUAAUUGGGAUAUACAGGGGGAACUACACACAUCAAUCAAAAACUUAUGGGCGGUUUGGGAUAGUGCCUGAUUUAAUUUUUUAUUAAAAAACAAUAUAUAUUAUAAUUUAUUUAUGAAUAUGAUAUUUUAUCUUUCAACAAAAACAUUAUAACUUAUUCUUAAAAAAACUAUUAUUUUAUUACUAUUAAUAACCUGACAGCCACACACCAUCAAAAUUAGGCUGAAUUAAUAUAAUUAAUUUAUUAAUAGAAUAAUAUUUUAUCUUUCAACAAAAAAUAUACUUUAUUCUUAAAAAAAACUAUUAUUUUAUUACUAUUAAUAACCUGACAGCCACACACCAUCAAAAUUAGGCUGAAUUAAUAGAAUUAAUUUAUUAAUAGAAUGAUAUUUUAUCUUUCAACUAAAAAUAUAUUUUAUUCUUAAAAUAACUAUUAUUUUAAUACUAUUAAUAACCUGAAAGCCACACACCUUCAAAAUUAGGCCGAUUGGAGGCAUGCAAAUUUUGCAGUUCUGCUAGCAAGUUUGCGUGAAAUUUCCCAUUUUCUGCAGCAUUCCAAAGAGAGACCUCCUGCCUUACCAUCUUGUGCAAACAGGCCAUCUGGAGGACUAGGACUUUUUCCCGUAAGUUUCUGCUGUGGGCCGGCCAUGGAACAAGUGCGAUCUGCCAAUGGCAAAACUCCCUAUCAGAAUUGGUGAUGGGAUUUUUCUCCAGCAGAAAGAUUGCAGGGUCAAUUUUAAGUCCUAGUCCACCCCUGGAUCUGAAGGUUUCACUUUGGGAUGCAUCUUCAACAGAAACAAAUUCAAGCUUCUCACACUUCUUUCAGAGACAACAACUUCAACAACAGUGGACACUGUUCAACGAGUCAAGCCUAAGCCUGCAAGUCUAGUGAGCCGUCUCACUUUUGGUCCGUCUUCAUACAAUAUCAAAUUCUGAUUUCUUUCAGUAAAAAGCAAAUAACAAAUUCUGGACUGUUGUGGGUCACUACUGCAUGUCUUCCAUGUCAUCUACGAGACAAUACAGUUGAACAUGAAGCAAAUAAAUCCACAAACAUGCUCUACUGUACUUGAUACUUCUGAUGUCUUCUUGCUCUGGUUCACUUGUUGUCUUUUAAAUAUAUAACUUAUAUUGUCAGGUAUCACUUUGUUUAUUUUUAUUAUUUGAACCUGCCUGACAAAAUAAAUACAUUUCUUUAACUGUU